UGGGGGAUAUUGCACAAUGGGCGAAAGCCUGAUGCAGCGACGCCGCGUGGGGGAUGAAGGCUUUCGGGUUGUAAACCUCUUUCGCUAUCGAACAAGGCCCGCUUAGGGUGGGUUGAGGGUAGGUGGAGAAGAAGCGCCGGCUAACUACGUGCCAGCAGCCGCGGUAAUACGUAGGGCGCGAGCGUUGUCCGGAAUUAUUGGGCGUAAAGGGCUUGUAGGCGGCUUGUUGCGCCUUCUGUGAAAACGCCGGGCUUAACUUCGCGCGUGCAGUGGGUACGGGCAGGCUUGAGUGUGGUAGGGGUGACUGGAAUUCCAGGUGUAGCGGUGGAAUGCGCAGAUAUCUGGAGGAACACCGAUGGCGAAGGCAGGUCACUGGGCCAUUACUGACGCUGAGGAGCGAAAGCAUGGGUAGCGAACAGG
RNAcentral lists this ribosomal RNA (420 nucleotides) under bacterium. Its description in RNAcentral is "partial 16S ribosomal RNA". It matches the Rfam family "Bacterial small subunit ribosomal RNA", at positions 355 to 776 of the family's 1533-position model. The record is from RNAcentral.